UGUCCUAAUGGUUGCAUAUAAACACAG
RNAcentral lists this non-coding RNA (27 nucleotides) under Mus musculus (house mouse). The record is from RNAcentral. Lineage: Eukaryota; Metazoa; Chordata; Mammalia; Rodentia; Muridae.